GACGAACGCUGGCGGCGUGCUUAACACAUGCAAGUCGAACGGAAAGGCUCUGCUUUUGUGGGGUGCUCGAGUGGCGAACGGGUGAGUAACACGUGAGUAACCUGCCCUUGACUUUGGGAUAACUUCAGGAAACUGGGGCUAAUACCGGAUAGGAGCUCCUGCUGCAUGGUGGGGGUUGGAAAGUUUCGGCGGUUGGGGAUGGACUCGCGGCUUAUCAGCUUGUUGGUGGGGUAGUGGCUUACCAAGGCUUUGACGGGUAGCCGGCCUGAGAGGGUGACCGGCCACAUUGGGACUGAGAUACGGCCCAGACUCCUACGGGAGGCAGCAGUCGGGAAUAUUGCACAAUGGGCGGAAGCCUGAUGCAGCAACGCCGCGUGCGGGAUGACGGCCUUCGGGUUGUAAACCGCUUUCGCCUGUGACGAAGCGUGAGUGACGGUAAUGGGUAAAGAAGCACCGGCUAACUACGUG
RNAcentral lists this ribosomal RNA (468 nucleotides) under uncultured bacterium. Its description in RNAcentral is "partial 16S ribosomal RNA". It matches the Rfam family "Bacterial small subunit ribosomal RNA", at positions 28 to 507 of the family's 1533-position model. The record is from RNAcentral.